GCAUAUCUAACUUCCCGAGUCUUCUUAAAUCCAACUUCUUCUCUUCCAGAUUCUUAAUUCUAUAGAAUACACCAUUGGCUUAAUCUUUGGCAUAUAAGUAGAGUUGUCAGAUAAGACACAGGUUGCUUAGUUAAAUAUGAAUUCCAGACAAACUGAGAAUACUUGUUUUUUAGUGUAGUAUAUCCCAUCCACUAUUGGAGAUAUACUAAAAAAGUGUUUGGUGUUUAUCUGAAAUUCAAUUUAACUGGGCAUCCUGUAUUUUUACUUGUGAAAUCCGGCCACCCCAUAUAUAAUAGAAAUUGUUUUUUUUCAAUAGAUUACUUUGUUCAAAUAGUAUCACACAGAGAUGCCCAGAACAUGAACAAAUUAAGACUAAAAAGACUGAGAUCCAGGAGGAGGAAGUGCCUGGAUUCUGCUGGGUCCAAACGAGAGUGACAGAGCUCAGAAAUGACUACAGCUUCUGGAAUGCAAGAUACUGGAAGUCUCAAGUCACUGCCAUACUACAGGACAGCAGAGCCCCAGAUGGAAGGAGUGUGGGUCCCUGAAUUAUUAUGUCGAGGAAAAUCACUCACUGUCCAGAAAGGAACCAUAUAUUACAUGGCUGACAUUGACAUUUUAAGGUUGGUUUGUUACAGCAGCUAUCCUUAUCCUAACGAAUACACUAUUUUUAUCUAUGAACUUGAUUUGUGGGUAUUUUUGCUUAGUGUGAAGGUUUAAGUCAGCUCAUAUAAUAAAACCUGUAAAACAAACCUGUUCAGCAAACAGACACUUAGUGCCAAUGUUAAAGUCUGUCGAAGAAUAAGGAUGAAGAAUUGCUGAUAAGUUCUCAAGCUUUCUUUGAGAUAGAGAAGGGCCGAACAGUGGGCUGGCACAGGCAGAAAUUACUAUGCACUGAGACCCUUAAGUAUCCACUUCUCUUUUGAAGGUGGCUGCCCAUCGCCACUAUCCAAGAGUGGGUCUCUCUCCUUUGUAGGGAUUUACAAAGAAUGUUCCAGCAAAGGACUUUAGUCAAGGUCAGUGCCUCCAGGCAGAGUGACUACAAGCCUUGCACCUAGACCAUGUC
RNAcentral lists this long non-coding RNA (1063 nucleotides) under Mustela putorius furo (domestic ferret). RNAcentral's name for it is "lncRNA (ENSMPUG00000031093.1)". Lineage: Eukaryota; Metazoa; Chordata; Mammalia; Carnivora; Mustelidae. The record is from RNAcentral.